RNAcentral lists this small nuclear RNA (335 nucleotides) under Chinchilla lanigera (long-tailed chinchilla). RNAcentral's name for it is "7SK RNA (ENSCLAG00000021406.1)". It matches the Rfam family "7SK RNA". From Rfam's summary of the family: 7SK was discovered as an abundant small nuclear RNA in the mid-70s but a possible function has only recently been suggested. Two independent studies have found that 7SK RNA binds the CDK9/cyclin T complex (known as elongation factor P-TEFb). The record is from Rfam by way of RNAcentral. Lineage: Eukaryota; Metazoa; Chordata; Mammalia; Rodentia; Chinchillidae.
GGAUGUGAGGAUGAUCUGGCUACGAUAUCUGUUACCCCGUUGGUCAGUAGGGUUGAUUCCACUGAUCUGGCUGGCUAGAUCUCUCCUUCCUCUCCUUCCUCCCUCACUGCUCUUUGUGCAAACCUCCACCCUCCCGAGGUUGAGACUGCACUGGGUGGAAGAUUGCUCCUCGCUCAAGGGUAUAGGAGUAGCUGCGCUGCCCUUCUAGAGCCUCCCCAAACAAGCUCUCAGGGAUAGAGAGCUAGUUCUCCCUUGUGUUAGUACUGGGAGUAUGAAAUGCUUUGUUUUUUUUUUACAGUUUGUGAUAUUUUAAUAGGUUUUAAAAAUGUCUUUGA